AAGGUUUUAGCUUAAUUAAAGUACCUGUUUUGCAUACAGGAGAUGUGGGUUAAUGUCCUGCAAGUCUUA
This 69-nucleotide transfer RNA is filed under the name Hoplichthys fasciatus. RNAcentral's name for it is "tRNA-Ala". It matches the Rfam family "tRNA". Rfam says of the family: Transfer RNA (tRNA) molecules are approximately 80 nucleotides in length. The record is from RNAcentral. Lineage: Eukaryota; Metazoa; Chordata; Actinopteri; Perciformes; Hoplichthyidae.